UCAAUGCUCGUAAGAGUGAACUAGCUAACUGGAAUCAUAUUUGUGUCAUCUAUGAUAAGGUAAAUGAAAAUAAUGAUAAAAUUUUACUAAUAGUGUUGUCUAAAGCUGGUGCCAGAAGACUCGGUAAUGCCAGAGACGCAAGCGUUAAUCAUAUUGAUCAGGCGUAAAGGGUUUGUAGGCUGUUUUAAUAAAAUUAAAACUAGAAUCUAAUAGAGGUAAAAUUAAGAGAAUAUUUAGAGAAGGGUUGACAUCUGUAGAUACUAAGUAGAAUUCUAAUAGCGUAAGCUCUUUACCAAGUAUAGAUUGACGCUGAAAAACGAAGGUGAGGAACGACAAUAGGAUUAGAUACCCUGGCAUCCUUCUCUGUCAACGAUGAAUGGUAGUUGCUAGUUAUAAAUAGUUACGUGGUUACACGUUAACCAUUCCGCCUUGUGAGUACAAUUGCAAAGUUGAAACCAAAAAAUUAGUCGGUUUCGGAGCAAACGAAGUGAAGCAUGUUU
This 500-nucleotide ribosomal RNA is filed under the name Phaeoclavulina longicaulis. RNAcentral describes it as "partial 12S small subunit ribosomal RNA". It matches the Rfam family "Bacterial small subunit ribosomal RNA", at positions 368 to 946 of the family's 1533-position model. The record is from RNAcentral. Lineage: Eukaryota; Fungi; Basidiomycota; Agaricomycetes; Gomphales; Gomphaceae.